GACGAACGCUGGCGGCGUGCUUAACACAUGCAAGUCGAACGGAAAGGCCCUGCUUUUGUGGGGUGCUCGAGUGGCGAACGGGUGAGUAACACGUGAGUAACCUGCCCUUGACUUUGGGAUAACUUCAGGAAACUGGGGCUAAUACCGGAUAGGAGCUCCUGCUGCAUGGUGGGGGUUGGAAAGUUUCGGCGGUUGGGGAUGGACUCGCGGCUUAUCAGCUUGUUGGUGGGGUAGUGGCUUACCAAGGCGUUGACGGGUAGCCGGCCUGAGAGGGUGACCGGCCACAAUGGGAAGGGGACACGGCCGAGAGUCCUACGGGAGGAAGGAGGGGGGAAUUUUGGACAAUGGGCGAAAGCCUGAUACAGCAACGCGGCGUGUGUGAAGAAGGCCUUCGGGGUGUAAAGAAGGUGUGUAGGGAAAGAAAUCCUUGGACGUAAUACGGGAGGGGGAGGACGGUACCGGAAGAAGAAGAACCGGCUAACUACGUG
This 488-nucleotide ribosomal RNA is filed under the name uncultured bacterium. RNAcentral's name for it is "partial 16S ribosomal RNA". It matches the Rfam family "Bacterial small subunit ribosomal RNA", at positions 28 to 507 of the family's 1533-position model. The record is from RNAcentral.